GCUUUAGAAAGUAUAGUAUGUACCAAUGCCUCAAAUUUCUCUCCUCUGAUCCGCUGUACAACUCCAAUUGUUCGUCCUUAUCAUAGUGUUUCUGAGGUGGAUUCUGUCUUUAGACAUUCUUCAACUAAAAGAUACCUUUAGCAUUAUCCUUCAAUUUAAGCUGAACCAAAAAGCAGCCAUUGAUUACACAAUACUGACGA
RNAcentral lists this ribosomal RNA (200 nucleotides) under uncultured eukaryote. Its description in RNAcentral is "partial 18S ribosomal RNA". The record is from RNAcentral.